RNAcentral lists this ribosomal RNA (429 nucleotides) under Bacteroidota bacterium. RNAcentral's name for it is "Bacteroidetes bacterium partial 16S ribosomal RNA". It matches the Rfam family "Bacterial small subunit ribosomal RNA", at positions 355 to 776 of the family's 1533-position model. Lineage: Bacteria; Pseudomonadati; Bacteroidota. The record is from RNAcentral.
UAGGGAAUCUUCGGCAAUGGGGGGAACCCUGACCGAGCAACGCCGCGUGAGUGAAGAAGGUUUUCGGAUCGUAAAGCUCUGUUGUUAAGGAAGAACGAGUGUGAGAAUGGAAAGUUCAUACUGUGACGGUACUUAACCAGAAAGGAACGGCUAACUACGUGCCAGCAGCCGCGGUAAUACGUAGGUCCCGAGCGUUGUCCGGAUUUAUUGGGCGUAAAGCGAGCGCAGGCGGUUAGAUAAGUCUGAAGUUAAAGGCAGUGGCUCAACCAUUGUAGGCUUUGGAAACUGUUUAACUUGAGUGCAGAAGGGGGGAGUGGAAUUCCAUGUGUAGCGGUGAAAUGCGUAGAUAUAUGGAGGAACACCGGUGGCGAAAGCGGCUCUCUGGUCUGUAACUGACGCUGAGGCUCGAAAGCGUGGGGAGCGAACAGG